Molecule: long non-coding RNA, 622 nt
Filed under: Hordeum vulgare
Lineage: Eukaryota; Viridiplantae; Streptophyta; Magnoliopsida; Poales; Poaceae
Description: long non-coding RNA (HVUL_LNC011682)
Source: RNAcentral
CGCAUGUUCGUUGAUAGCUCUGCACAGUUGCCGCCGUGUGCAGCAGGGCAUUUUCGGCCAAUCUCUCUGACGCCCUACGCCCCCACCGCGACUCCACAUGCUUGCAACUUGCUAGACAUCCGCCAGGUGAUGAGGCCGCUCCGCCUUGGCAAGGCACCCACCGAGGCACCAACCAAUCUGCCCUUUGGGGAAGUGGCGAUGCAGUGCUCGGAUCGAACGUCGAAGUGGUAAGAACUCACUGACAUCCUAGAAUUUUCUUUUACAAGGAAACCUUGUUUAUUUCUUUUACUGAUACAAGGGCCUCUCGUCCUAGGUUUUUAUUAAUUCUGUUCGAAAUCUAGUUCACUGGCUAAGGCAUCUUCAUGGGCGCAACUGAAAAAAGGGUGCGGGGGGGGGGGGGGAUCUUCAUGGGCAUGUGGUGUUUGUUGAAAUGCCACAGUACUGAGAAAGUAUAUUGCAGUUCAAGAGGGAAAAACAUAUGGAUUCCUGAAUGCUAUUUAUAUCAAAUACUAGCGCAUCAACGUAUUGAACUAGGGACAUAGUCUACCAGAAGCAACUUUGGUGUUAUUUUUCAUAUUGAUAUAUUAGUGAAUACAAUUUAAAACAACAUUGCUACAAAAAA